AUGUAUUUAACGUACUUUUCCAAUGUGUGGGUGUGUUUGUGUUGUUCAGAGGUGGCACCGGCGCAGGCGGUAGACUGCAGGACAGCGAGCACCCGGUUCAACGGCAUAUGCAUCCUGGACACCAGUUGCGCCAACAUGUGCAUCACCGAGGGGUUCCUGGCUGGCGGGGAGUGUGAAGGCCUCCACAGGCGCUGCAUGUGCAGAACACCAUGCUAG
Molecule: ribosomal RNA, 216 nt
Filed under: Triticum aestivum (bread wheat)
Lineage: Eukaryota; Viridiplantae; Streptophyta; Magnoliopsida; Poales; Poaceae
Description: partial small subunit ribosomal RNA
Source: RNAcentral